RNAcentral lists this long non-coding RNA (3830 nucleotides) under Malus domestica (apple). Its description in RNAcentral is "long non-coding RNA (MDOM_LNC014697)". Lineage: Eukaryota; Viridiplantae; Streptophyta; Magnoliopsida; Rosales; Rosaceae. The record is from RNAcentral.
CCCUGGUUUCUGGAAAAUCUUAAAACUUUAAUAUCUUCAUCAUUUUUCAACCAAAUUCCACGAAUUUUAUAUGGAUUUGAAGCUCUCAACUAGAAGAACACAAUCUUACCUAUUUGAGGUCCUAAAACCUACGUAAAAUGGUCGGAAUAAGGCAUGGAACAACCGGCCAACUUGCAACUUCAUGUUCUUGCCUAUUCCAACAUUCAAACUGCUCCAAAACUAAUCUAGGGUCCUUAUAAAGUUGAUUAGGACCCACCUCGAGCCCUUAAACUUUAGAAAAAAACCACGAUCACGACGUAGAAAAAUACACCUUGCCGAAGCUCAGGAGUUCUCGAAUUCCCAACAUCUAUUCCUCUACCUAAGGGUACCAAUAAGUUCGUGGGGCCGAGGUGAGCGCGAUGGUAGUGAUUUCCAAUUCGAUCUGUGAUGUUUUGAUGAUGAUUGUGAAGUAAGGGUGGCUCGGGUGUAAGGAAGGAGAAGAAAGAAUAAGAAGGUCCAAGAGAAGAGAGAUAGUGAAGGUGUGUGCGUGCGUGAUUGGGCAGAAGGAAAAAUGAGAGAGAUUUUUAAUUUAAUUGGGCCAAAGAAAUCAGGAACUAAGGUAAUUGGUGGGUAAGGUAUAGCCAACUCAUAAAAAUAUAUUUCUACCCAUUUACACACUCAUUUGUUCGUAACUUCUUUGUUAUGAAUCCGAUUUGGCCCUAGAUCACAUCAACACACUCAUGGCAUCGAGUACGAUUUAACUACGACGGUAGAAAUAAUAAUUUAAAACACAUAUGUACAUCCACGUCACUAAACCACGAGAGCAUUACCGUCACUUUACACACUCAGGGAGAAAAUUAUAUAAUAAUUCGGAACGGGUCGUCACAACUAAACCCAACAAAGAGAUGAAAGAAGUUAAAAUAUUUCUAUUUAACAUAAUGACAUAUCAAUUUAGUAAAAAAAUUAUAUAAAAUGUCACGUAAAUUAUAAAAUAUUAUUUUAAUAUUUACAUUUGACAUCUCCUUAAUUACUAACAAACGAUAUAGUAUCAUUUAUUUGAGGAAAAAGAAAAGGUUAAAAAUUGGUAUUGGUAGUAUUGGUAGAAAAUACACCCAUGCUAGAUGGUUGCUGAACUUGGAUAUAAACACGUGGGGGACCCUACUUAGUCAUGGGUUCAACGUCCACCAAGAUAGUGUGCGCCAGAGCACCACCACAUUGCGCUCUCCUGGCGUCUCGACUCUCAUUUGAACGCGUGAGGAGGAGGAUCAAAAGUGAAGCACUGGGAAGCAACCACGUGUUUCUUCCUUUUACUGUCCCCAUGUGGUCUCACGAGUCGAUGGGCUUGCUCCCUUAACCCCAAAAGCCGAAGGAAAAUACUUGGCUGAGAUAACUGAGACCCCCUUGUCCCACGACCCUCGGGGCCCACAGCCUUAAUUAAGAACUUUAACAAAAAAACUUAUGGUACUGUUCAUUUUAACAAAAAAUCAUAUUUUUACACUAAAAGUCAAUAAUGGUACUAUUCAAUUUACUCUUUAUUUUGUCCUUAUCGUGAAAAUUCAAAGUUUUCAAGCCUUUUUCAUUAGUUUUUCUUUUUUUGAAUUGAUUUUUGAAAGCUUUAACGAAAAGUUUCCCGUACUAUUCAUUUUUAUUAUAAAAAGUUAAUUCUGGUACUAUUCACUUACAACACAUUGUUGUUAUUUUUGUUGAAACUCAAAGUUUUCAAAUCCUUUUUAUUAAUUUUCCUAUGAUUUUUCAAUGUCUCGUGGAGUUACAAACUCACACAUGUGCCGUAUUUUUUGCAAAAAAUUAGCAACCUUCUUAUUGAUCAUUCUCCUAGUCCUAUCUUUUUAACUUUCUUGCGAGCAUGCAAAGUACUUCGAUGAUAAGAUACAGUCUAAUUUUCAGAACACUCAUUAAAAAUUCAUUUACGAAAAAUUAACUAAACUAAUAUUCGUUUAUUGUUUAAUAUUAAUUUUUAUAAUUUAAUAGUUAACUAAAAAAUAUGGUUACUUUAUUAUUUGAAUAACUGUUGAUGAGUAAACAGUUACAAAUUUAAAAUUACGUCUCACAUAAAGUUCAUACAAAUGAAUUGAAAAUAUCACGCGAAUGAUGAAUACUAAAACUUUCCUCGCUCUUCUGUCGCAAAGGUCCGUGGCCCAAUUCAUCAUGCAGUUUGGUUUCUCUCAGCGCACGACACGAGUCUCAAACGGCCCAAUCACGCUUCAACCUCGGGUGGACCCCAUAGGGUGAGCCUCUGAGGGCAAAUCCCUACGUCAACUUCGGAGCCUGGCCCCCCAUAGAUGGAAGCGUAAUUAAGCACGAGUCUGACUUUGACAUGGAUCUUCGGCACAUCAUUGGCUAUUGGCUAUCUUGUUUGACUAAAGACUAUUCUCAAUAGGAACAUUUUUGCUUGGAGUAUGAUUCUCUCUCAAUUGAUUCUCAUCUCCUUUCCUCUUUUUUUUCUUACAUUUUGCUUUUUAUUUUUUUAUCUUUAUAAAAAAUUAAUAUGUCUUUAUAAAAAAAUUAAUAUAAGAUAUCAACGUAACUUAAUCGUAACCGUUCAAGUAAAAGGAGAAAUAUUAGGAGAAGAGAGAAUCUUCUUCCUUUUUGCUCACUAUCAUAACUAUUAUAUGUUCAUUAUACAUCUUAUCAUCUAUCAAGUGUCAUUUAAUCCAAUUUUAGUUAACUUUUAUAUUUUUUUAAUUUUUAAUUUUUAAUUCUUUUAAACAUGAGAUAUUAUCUUACAGACGAGGGAGGGGAAUAGGCUUAGCCUUACAAAUGAUUCCAAUAAUGUGGUUCAAAUUUGUCUUUGACGAGAAUUGAACCUAAUACCUCUCACUUAUAAUUGAAAAGGAAUACCACUAGACCGUAAUACUAAGUGACAUUUAUCUUUCACAUUAAAUGUUACAUUUUUUUUUCAAUUUGAAAAAUAAUUAACUAAGUUUAAGUGAAAGUGAAAAAACAUAUGAUAGAUGAUUAAGUGUAUAGUAAGCAUACACUAUAAUUUAGGGUGGUAGCAAAAAAGCAUCAUCCAGCAGCAAUCGAGAGUCGAAGGUCUGAUUCCACCUAGUGGCCAAUUCAACCAACAGAUAAAGCAACCCUAACCCUUAGCGCAAGCACUAAGAAAGUAAACAACCUUCGUGAACGUCACGAUCUCAAUUACUUGAUUAAGUUUAUAAAAAUUAGAGUAAAUUGUAGCAAUAGCCCUUAACUUUAACUCAAUUAGAGUAAGGGUCCAUCAACUAAAAAUCAAUUACCAUUGGUCCCUCGACUCAUCAAAACGUGCAACUAUGGUCUCUCAACUAAAAAUUCAUUACAAUUGGUCCCUCAACUUUAAUACAACUGGAGAAAUGGUCCCUCAACUUUAACCAAAUUUGAGCAAUGGUUCCUCAACUACAACUCAAUUGUAGCAAUGAUCAUUCCAACAUAACUCAUUUUGACAAAAUUCUAACAAAGUUGACGAAAAUGACCAUAUCUACACAUUUUAAUGAGUUGAGGGAGCCCAAUUGUAACAAUAGUCAUUCCAGCAUAACUUAUUUUGACAAAAUUCUAACGAACUUGACGAAAAUAAUCAUAACUACACAUUUUGAUGAGUUAAGGUACCAAUAGUAAUGGAUGUUUACUUGAAAGACCAUUACUCCAAUUUAAUUAAAGUUGAAAGAUCAUUGCUAAAAUUUACUCUAAAAAUUAGGAAAACUAAUGAAAACUAAUGAAAAGAGCAUGAAAACUAAUGAAAAGAGCUUGAAAACUUUGAGUUUUAAUGAUAGGGACAAAAUAAAGUAAAGUGAAUAGUACCAUGAUUGACUUUUUAGUGUAAAAAUAUGAUUUUUCAUUAAAAUGAACAGUACUAG